CCGAAUUUACGUUCAAACCCACUGUGAACCAUACCUCUUGCCGCGUUGUCUCGGCGGGAGGCGUGAGGCCCUAGCGGCCCCGCGUCCCCGCCGGCAGCGCCAAACUCUAAACUGCAAAGCGUACUGCAUGCUCUGAUUUACAAAAAAAACAAGUUA
This 156-nucleotide unclassified non-coding RNA is filed under the name uncultured Kernia. Its description in RNAcentral is "sequence contains ITS1". Lineage: Eukaryota; Fungi; Ascomycota; Sordariomycetes; Microascales; Microascaceae. The record is from RNAcentral.